RNAcentral lists this ribosomal RNA (459 nucleotides) under uncultured bacterium. RNAcentral's name for it is "SSU rRNA". It matches the Rfam family "Bacterial small subunit ribosomal RNA", at positions 26 to 518 of the family's 1533-position model. The record is from RNAcentral.
AGAAUCAACGCUGGCGGCGUGCCUAACACAUGCAAGUCGAACGAGAAAGUGGAGCAAUCCAUGAGUAAAGUGGCGUACGGGUGAGUAACACGUGACUAACCUACCCUCGAGUGGGGAAUAACCUCGGGAAACCGGGGCUAAUACCGCAUAAUAUCUUCGGAUCAAAUGCGUAAGCAGCUUGAGGAGGGGGUCGCGGCCGAUUAGCUAGUUGGCGGGGUAAUGGCCCACCAAGGCAAUGAUCGGUAGCCGGCCUGAGAGGGCGCACGGCCACACUGGAACUGAAACACGGUCCAGACUCCUACGGGAGGCAGCAGUGGGGAAUUUUGCGCAAUGGGGGAAACCCUGACGCAGCAACGCCGCGUGGAGGAUGAAGCCCCUUGGGGUGUAAACUCCUUUCGAUCGGGACGAUUAUGACGGUACCGGAUGAAGAGCACCGGCUAACUCUGCGCCAGCAGCCGC